RNAcentral lists this ribosomal RNA (406 nucleotides) under uncultured bacterium. RNAcentral describes it as "partial 16S ribosomal RNA". It matches the Rfam family "Bacterial small subunit ribosomal RNA", at positions 29 to 526 of the family's 1533-position model. The record is from RNAcentral.
AUUGAACGCUGGCGGCAGGCCUAACACAUGCAAGUCGAACGAGUGGCGGACGGGUGAGUAAUGUAUGGGAAACUGCCUGAUGGAGGGGGAUAACUACUGGAAAAGGUAGCUAAUACCGCAUACCAUCGGAUGUGCCCAGAUGGGUUUAGCUAGUGGGGGGGGUAAAGGCUCACCUAGGCGACGAUCCGUAGCUGGUCUGAGAGGAUGACCAGCCACACUGGAACUGAGACACGGGCAAGACUCCUACGGGAGGCAGCAGGGGGGAAUAUUGCACAAUGGGCGCAAGCAUGAUGCAGCCAUGCCGCGUGUAUGAAGAAGGCCUUCGGGUUGUAAAGUACUUUCAGCGGGGAGGCGUUACCCGCAGAAGAAGCACCGGCUAACUCCGUGCCAGCAGCCGCGGUAAUAC